AUGCUACUGCUCUGCAGUGCUGCUCCAACACGUGUUCACCUGACCCCCUCCGGCUGGGGAGGCUGCUGGGGCAGAAAUAAGGAAAAAACUGGAAACCAUGUGCGAGCUGAGUGGGAUAAAGGGGCAGAAGUUGAGAUUGCAACGGCCCCAGUCCUUCCUGUUUCUCCAAGCCUGCUUGCAAUGCAUUUCCUUGCAAGUGAAGCAGUGUUCCCAGAGCUGGAACGCGUUUUCAUCCUGUCCGAUGCUGCUGCCCAUGCUGGUAACCUGCUGGCCUCACCAUGUGUUGGACCAUACCUGGACAGUGAUUUGGGCAGAACUCUGGAGGAAGGACGAUUGAAACACCCCAGCAGAAGAAAUGUGAGACUCCUGGAUUGCAGCAGCAAGCAAUUCCAGGUGGUUCAGGUUAGCCUGAGUGUCCUGGCGGUUUGCAGAUGUCUCUGA
RNAcentral lists this long non-coding RNA (441 nucleotides) under Anas platyrhynchos platyrhynchos (common mallard). Its description in RNAcentral is "lncRNA (ENSAPLG00000019881.1)". The record is from RNAcentral. Lineage: Eukaryota; Metazoa; Chordata; Aves; Anseriformes; Anatidae.